GCGCCUGUAGCUCAACUGGAUAGAGCAAUGGCCUACGGAGCCAUAGGUUGCAGGUUCGAAUCCUGCCAGGCGUGCUA
Molecule: transfer RNA, 77 nt
Filed under: Planctomycetaceae bacterium SCGC AG-212-F19
Lineage: Bacteria; Pseudomonadati; Planctomycetota; Planctomycetia; Planctomycetales; Planctomycetaceae
Description: tRNA-Arg
Rfam family: tRNA
About the family: Transfer RNA (tRNA) molecules are approximately 80 nucleotides in length. Their secondary structure includes four short double-helical elements and three loops (D, anti-codon, and T loops).
Source: RNAcentral